RNAcentral lists this ribosomal RNA (158 nucleotides) under uncultured fungus. Its description in RNAcentral is "5.8S ribosomal RNA". It matches the Rfam family "5.8S ribosomal RNA". From Rfam's summary of the family: 5.8S ribosomal RNA (5.8S rRNA) is a component of the large subunit of the eukaryotic ribosome. It is transcribed by RNA polymerase I as part of the 45S precursor that also contains 18S and 28S rRNA. Functionally, it is thought that 5.8S rRNA may be involved in ribosome translocation. The record is from RNAcentral. Lineage: Eukaryota; Fungi.
AAACUUUUAACAACGGAUCUCUUGGCUCUCGCAUCGAUGAAGAACGCAGCGAGAUGCGAUAAGUAAUGUGAAUUGCAGAAUUCAGUGAAUCAUCGAAUCUUUGAACGCACCUUGCGCCCUUUGGUAUUCCGAAGGGCAUGCCUGUUUGAGUGUCAUGA